GGUUGGGAUUAGGCAGCAAGUCGAACGGGAUCCUGGAAACGGAUUCUUCGGAUGAAGUUUCCUGGUGAGAGUGGCGAACGGGUGAGGAACACGUGGGUAAUCUGCCCUGAAACUCGGGAUAGCCCUUGGAAACGAGGAGUAAUACCGAAUGUGGUCGCCCUGGACAUCCAGGGUUGUCUAAAGGUGGGGAUCUUCGGACCUGCCAUUUCAGGAUGAGCCCGCGCCCUAUCAGCUUGUUGGUGAGGUAAUGGCUCACCAAGGCAAAGACGGGUAGCUGGUCUGAGAGGAUGGUCAGCCACACUGGGACUGAGACACUG
This 317-nucleotide ribosomal RNA is filed under the name uncultured anaerobic ammonium-oxidizing bacterium. Its description in RNAcentral is "bacterial SSU rRNA". It matches the Rfam family "Bacterial small subunit ribosomal RNA", at positions 41 to 329 of the family's 1533-position model. The record is from RNAcentral.